UUGGGUUAAGUCCCGUAACGAGCGCAACCCUUGUCCUUAGUUACCAGCACGUUAUGGUGGGCACUCUAAGGAGACUGCCGGUGACAAACCGGAGGAAGGUGGGGAUGACGUCAAGUCAUCAUGGCCCUUACGGCCUGGGCUACACACGUGCUACAAUGGUCGGUACAAAGGGUUGCCAAGCCGCGAGGUGGAGCUAAUCCCAUAAAACCGAUCGUAGUCCGGAUCGCAGUCUGCAACUCGACUGCGUGAAGUCGGAAUCGCUAGUAAUCGUGAAUCAGAAUGUCACGGUGAAUACGUUCCCGGCCUU
This 307-nucleotide ribosomal RNA is filed under the name uncultured Pseudomonas sp. RNAcentral's name for it is "bacterial SSU rRNA". It matches the Rfam family "Bacterial small subunit ribosomal RNA", at positions 1075 to 1381 of the family's 1533-position model. The record is from RNAcentral. Lineage: Bacteria; Pseudomonadati; Pseudomonadota; Gammaproteobacteria; Pseudomonadales; Pseudomonadaceae.